UUUUGUUGUCAUUUAUCAAAUGAAGAUUUAGGGUUUCUUGUGAAGAAGCAUGAGCUUACAAAAGCUCUUGUAAUGACAAGCUCGAUAAGGUGCUGAAUCCAUGGCGACCAUACAUUUCUCUAGCUCUGUAACAAGCAGGAGCUUGCAAUCGUUUGAUGGGCUUCGGCCAUUAACGGUUAGGAUUUCUUCAAUUCAACCUUGUAAUGUGGUUGUCAACCAGAGGAGUUUCCGAGGACUCACCGUCACGGCUGCCACCAUCGUCACUCCAAAGUACACUUCAAUUGAUGCAUGUAAAAUGUGGGAUGAUGAUCGAUGCCCACCAGUUGUUCGAUGAAAUGCUUGAAAGGAACUCAGUUUCUUGGAACACCAUUAUAGGAGGGAUGGUUUGAGUUAUUUCAUCUGAUUUAUGUCAUUUUCUUUCGUUCCUUGAACUCAUACUAUAGCUUGGAGUCUGUAAAAGUGGGUCCCAUGGUUUGGUGAUGCAGACCAGUGAUUUGAUGGAGUUCUCUAUGCAUAGACUAAGGAAAUCCUGAUGAAUUGUAUGUUUGGUGGGGCACAUUGUUCAAGUAGUCAAUCUGGUGGGUGCAAGAGUCACCCAAUUUGGAAGAUCUUUAACUUUGGCCUCUUCCAUAAUUGAAUGUGGACAUUGCUGCAUUUUCUUGUUCUUAACCAUCUAUUUGCACACCAUGAAUUGAGAGGUUAAGAUUGUACUGUUGAGGAGAUCUUCCACCGUAGCAUGGCAGAUUAAUGGUGAAGUUCAUCAGAUCAGCAGCCUGUUUCACCAAAACAUGGGCCUUUAAUGGAUAUCCGAUGACUCUACACAUGUUAGGACUUGGGACCUUGUAAUUCUUCAUUACAUAACAAAACUCCCUACACCUUUUACUGUUCUCUGAAAUGCAUCAGAAAAGCUUUAACACCUUGUAGAACUGAUAGUAUCUCACUUCUACUUUAGAAUCCUGAAUACAUAACUGGCAAGAAUACACAACUUUCACUUCACCUAGUUGAUCUUUCAAGAGUCAAUGUACCUCCCGCUGGUCCGUCUUGGAUUUCCAAUCGAAAAAUGAUCACAUAAGUUUAGAAAGCUUUCUAUUCUUAACUAUCAUGUUGCAACUUAUCCAGUUCUUGAAUCAUCCGCAUUCAUGAAGCAAAGCUUUUUAAGAAUUUAAAGUACUUUGUACUUUGUACACAUGGUUUUGGGACAACAUGAUAAAUGGAACCCAUCUGAAGAUGGCUAGCAUUUCCCUGCUUUUUUUCCCCUGAUCAGAAUUCAUGAUAACAAUAAAGAGGGGAUAGUCCCAUUUUGCUCUAAACCAUGAAAAAAAAUUCAGCUGAGUUGGUUGUUAUGUUGUUGGAAGUGCUGGCACGAAACAGAAGGCACAUCUUUUGUUGGAAUUACAACCUUAUUAGCAUUGAGGCAUAUUCCCUUUAUGACACAGAUAAAAUUUCAAUGAUAUGUUUCAAGUUGAUCUUUUGAAGAACGAGCUAGGCUUUGAUGAAGCUUUCAAUUACAAAGAGGAGCUAGACUUGGAUGCAACCUUGAAAAUGUGGGUUGAUGAGGUUAUUCCUGAUGCACCACGGGUUAUCACACAGGAAUUCAUCGACAAGCACAAAAUAGAUUAUGUGGCACUGUCACACGACUCUCUUCCAUUUAUGUUUCCAUGGAGGGUGUGGAGCAAGAGAAGGUGGAAACUGUUUUCAGGCCAAUGUCUGUUGAUAUUAAAUUCCAUGAUGUUCAAGGGAAGAAUUACUGUUGUGCCAUACUGAAGUUGAACAAGGAGAUUGUGCCUGAGCAAUGCAAGGUGGUUGUUAAUCCCAACCGAGUCAUUGUCACAGUCUAAAGCUUCAAAAGGUAAUUGGCUUGAUUUGCACUUCAAAGAUGAUAAGAAGCACCACCAGAUCAACAGUCAGGAGAUUGCGAAGAGUAGUAUUCAGAUGGCUUCCUGCACUUUUCUCCAAUAACAUGGUGGUGAAACUGUCUUGAUCACGUUGAUAUGGUGGGCCACAAUGUGGAUGAUGAGACAACUCUUUGACUAUCCAAUUGCUGUGAGUUUUACUUUGUUGAGUGUAGACCACUGCUGUUGACUCUUCCUUUGCAAUGCUACUACUUGUGGGAGGGUUCCUGAAGUCCAAUCCUAUUCUCUUUGGGAUAUGGCUAGGAGUAUAUAUAUCCAUCUUCUCCUACAUGUAUUGGCCAUCUGAUUACUGGAUCAGACUGACUUCUGGGCCUGGGCAUGUUCAUGGUGGCACCCACCCAAUGAGUGGUACAGAUCUCACAUACCUGUUCAUGGUGGCCUGGGUGUGUGCUGCAAAUUGCCUUCUGAUCAGAUGAUCCUACCCAUAUGAUUGAGGUCCAUCAAAUGGAUGGCUUAAAAUCACAAAUUUUAUUUCAACAGGCAAGAUUAAAUGCCUAGAAUCAGUUCAUGUACCAUCUGUGAUGGGGGCCAAGAGCUGGAUUGAUUUCUUAGCAUUAUGCUCAUCCUUUUUCUUCUACUACUAAUGUCCUCAGUGCAAUAGUUUCUGGCCCCAGGUGGACAGGAAAAUCCUGAUCAAAGAAAACUUCCAAGCAAGAUAACCAAAAAUGCCGAGAUCAAGGUUGAAGAUGUUGUGUUCGCAAUGGGUUACCAUCGACGCCCAAAUUCGGUUCGACAAUCCACCUCAGGUUGGUUUGUCAUUUGCAAAUGGCAUGUGUUUGUUGAUUGAAACGGUCUCUUGUACGAUUCUAGUAUGCUUUUCAAGAGAUUAGACAAAGAAAUUAGUGUUGUCCUUGUUUUGUAUUCACAUUUUGUAUGAGUUGAGUCAUUGAUUUAAUACAUUAUGAAUGAAGUCUACAUUUGUUUCUUUCACAAACAAAUUGACUGAAUUUUUAGUAGAUUUAAAUUCAUAACAUCACUGGUAUAGUUUGGAUUCAUGCUGACUUUUCUUAGAUGUUAAAACUUCAAUUUAGAUAUUGAACUGGCAGCUGCCGUCAUAAAUCCAGGUCUUGCUGGCAUUGAUUUCUAUGACUACCCUGAUUGGUUUUGCAUACAACCAUUUUCAUUUUGGGAUUUGAGGUAGUAUAAAUGGGGUUUAUGCAAAUCAGCAUUGGUGGUGUGCAAAAUCAAUUUUUCGUAGACUCAUUUUUGUUUCCAUGUUUUAAAUAUGGGCCACAUUCUCUUGCAGAACUUCAUUUUUAGCAUUGUAGUGGCUACCUUCCUGAUUCAUUGAUGGUGGAUUGAUCCUCUUGAGGCCUGAAGCCCGCUCCAGUUUGCGGCAGCUGCGGCAUUUCUUAAUAAAUUAUACAAAGACUAUCUUGGUAUUAUUAGGAGUUGUGGAGGGAGUUGUGAUUCUCAGUCAUUUUCCAUGAAGUAUCGUUUGUUGACAAUGGGUUUGAAGCUCAUCUUGUUGUGUGCAUGAUAUCCAAUCUGUCCAUUACAUUGUCCACCACAUUUUCUUCUUAUGUACCAAAA
Magnolia sinica is the source of this 3446-nucleotide long non-coding RNA. RefSeq lists it as uncharacterized. The transcript is spliced from 6 exons. Lineage: Eukaryota; Viridiplantae; Streptophyta; Magnoliopsida; Magnoliales; Magnoliaceae. The record is from RefSeq and is a predicted model, not a curated record.